AUGCGACGGAAAGUGCCACAGAGACCAGAGCGCCGAUGGCCUCGCGGAAACGCAAGGGACAGGCAAGGGUGAAACGGUGCGGCAAGAGCGCACCAGGUUCCGGUGCGAGCCGGGAUGCUGGCAAACCCCACCCGGAGCAAGGCCAAAUAGGGGGACACCUCCGCUCGUCGGAGGACAGCGCCCAGCUGUAGUCCCCGGGUAGGCCGCACGAUCCCGUCCGGCAACGGAGGGACCAGAUAGAUGGCCGCCGUCCCGUGCUUGCACGGGAUACAGAAUCCGGCUUACAGGCCCUCUUGGCGC
RNAcentral lists this RNase P RNA (300 nucleotides) under Chloroflexota bacterium. Its description in RNAcentral is "Chloroflexi bacterium partial RNase P RNA component class A". It matches the Rfam family "Bacterial RNase P class A", at positions 97 to 367 of the family's 367-position model. From Rfam's summary of the family: Ribonuclease P (RNase P) is a ubiquitous endoribonuclease, found in archaea, bacteria and eukarya as well as chloroplasts and mitochondria. Its best characterised activity is the generation of mature 5'-ends of tRNAs by cleaving the 5'-leader elements of precursor-tRNAs. Cellular RNase Ps are ribonucleoproteins. Lineage: Bacteria; Bacillati; Chloroflexota. The record is from RNAcentral.